AUGGGACAACAAGAUCAAGAUGUCGUGGGCUACUACAAUUACCUCUUCAUGGCCACCCUCCUGCUACUCCCUUUCUUCCUCAUCGCCAUCUUCAAACCGCCGCGCAAGCACGAACGCGAGAACCUUCCCCCGGGGCCAUGGCGGCUGCCGGUCAUCGGCAGCAUUCAUCACCUCAUCGGCGCACUACCACACCACGCCAUGCGUGACCUCGCCCGUCGGUACGACGCCCCGCUCAUGCUGCUCCGCCUCGGGGAGCUCAACGUCAUCGUGGCCUCGUCCGCCGUCGCGUCGAGGGAGAUCAUGAAGACCCACGACGCGACAUUCGCAACACGGCCACGGACCACCACCCUCCGCGCCAUCACGACAGACGACCUCGCCAUCUCCCUUGCACCCACGGCGAGCAGUGGCGCCGCCUCAAAAAGCUAUGCGUCACCGAGGUACUCAGCGCGCGGCAAGUCCGGUCCCUCCGGGGAUGCCGCGAGGCCAACGCCGCCGCCCUAG
This 501-nucleotide ribosomal RNA is filed under the name Triticum aestivum (bread wheat). RNAcentral's name for it is "partial small subunit ribosomal RNA". Lineage: Eukaryota; Viridiplantae; Streptophyta; Magnoliopsida; Poales; Poaceae. The record is from RNAcentral.